This is a long non-coding RNA of Saccostrea cuccullata (small rock oyster), 919 nucleotides long. RefSeq lists it as uncharacterized. NCBI's taxonomy places the organism in Eukaryota, Metazoa, Mollusca, Bivalvia, Ostreida, Ostreidae. The transcript is spliced from 3 exons. The record is from RefSeq and is a predicted model, not a curated record.
ACAGCUAAACAGACAGACAGGACAAAAACAAUAUGCGCCCCGAAAAAAUUUGGGUGCAUAAAAACUGUCUUGGAGUUAACAGCAGUUCUCUGUUUCUCCUGAAUGUUAUGUACAAUUUGAUCGGGAUCGGAAGAAUGUUUCAAAAAGUCGGGCUCAGUGAUCAAUUAAUUUAAACAACAGACCGCCAAAAUUUAACCUUGGCCUCCAUGUUGCAACGUCUGCUCUGUCUAAAGGAAGAAGUUUGUUGACCAGACAGCCUGAGAUCGUAUUGCUGUAUCAACCAAAAGAUGCAGAUACACGUAUUUCAUAUGCGCGUCUGUGCAUGAGGAGGAGAUUUCUGAAAAAGAAUAAGUGCUUAUUCAACUUACUGCGAUUUUAACGGGCUUAAAGCUUGGUCCAUGGAUGGUUAUGUUUGAGGAAUUGCCAAUUCGACUGCAAGUGCUGCUGCAAGAAAUUAAACAUGCAGAGACCUUACAAAUUACAAAGAAGUCUGAAGAAAAUUUUUAUUGGACAGAUGGGUGUAAAGCACAGACCUGAGAUAUAAAUUGAAUUGUGAGAAAUAUGAAUCAGGGAUGCAGGUAGAAAAUGGCAAAUGUGAUCCAGAUUGAUAAAAGAUGUCUAAAAUUUUUUCUUGUUUUGUAAAUAUUCAAUGCUAUGUCAAUUGUUAUUUUUUCCCCAAUACCUAAUAGUGUUGAACAUUUCACUCCCACUUUUGCUUAAAUAGAAUGAAUAAAUUUCCAUUUAUUUAAUAUGAAUAUUAAAAAAUGCCACAUUUUUUCCAUGAUGAACUUGUGGCUUAAAUAAGAGUUCCAGUUUUUUUUCCAUACAUGCUCCUAUUUGUUUGUCAAAGAUAUAAGAUCCAAUACAUUGCUCAUGAACAUAAUGUGUAAUUUUGUUCAUUCAUUUAUAUGUUUUUUUC